UUAAAAUUAAACCCUAAUUAAUCCUCAUGUAUAUAUGUAUUAAUGUUGUUGCUAAAAUUGGGAGGAGAUCCACUCACAUAUUGGAUCACACGCGGACCACACAAAAUAAAAAGAGGGAGAGAGAGACCAUAUAAAUUUACUCCACGCGGCUACUCAUGGGAGUAGGAUUGUUGAAUGUUGAAAAAUUAAAAACAAGAGAAAAAGUUGAAAGCAAAUCAAGAAAAAUCUAAGAAUUUCUUUUGCCAUUCUUCUUUAUCUCUCGCCUAACUCCCUCCCUUUCUUUUGUUCACCACUUACCUCCAUCUACUUCAUCAUCCAACCAACAUACAUAACAUACUCCCUUCAUCUUUCUUUCUUUCAAAUCCCACUGAACCUUUCCUUUCUUCUUCGAUAUUCUCCCCAUAUCAACUACAUAACCAACACACAUACUUUAUCCUCCACAUCAAAUAACAUAAAACUUCUCAAAUCCUCCUCUAAUCCUUCUUUCAUUUCAAAACAACAAUAACAAAAUACCACCCUGCAAACUCAAACCAAACACAAACUAAAACACAACCUUGUUCUCCUUUCGAUCUUCAAGUAACCUCACACGAUAUCUCUAUCAGAUUAUUCAUCACCUCCUUGAACUCAAAAAAGGACCUGCAAAAAACUAUUCUUCUUCUCCCUUCCUACUAACUCCGACGGACACCUCAACUCCCUCCGUCAACACCCCUUCUGGCCGCCUUUAUCAACCUACGAGACCACCACGCAAGUGUUCAAAGUCACCAUUUCCAGUAUCACCUCCUUGCUAAACUGCAUAUGUUUUCACCACCAAACGAAACCACAAAAUUCUCACAUCCUCCUCACCUCUCGACCUCCAUCUCGUGUUUCCUUUAAACACUUUCCAGCGACACAACCACAACCACUCACCAAAACCUCCAUGACAAUAAUAACUAUGACACCUUAUCGAUGUAAAACUCUUUUCUCGUAUUCUCCUUUUGUUUAACUUAGUUUGAGAUUGGUUAUUGUUUUGUUGAUGAGAGGAGAUUAAGAAUAUUAAGAGAGAUGAGGUGAGAGAUUUGAAAGAGGGAGUUUUAGUUUUUGUAAAAAAAAAUUGU
Molecule: long non-coding RNA, 1094 nt
Filed under: Lathyrus oleraceus (garden pea)
Lineage: Eukaryota; Viridiplantae; Streptophyta; Magnoliopsida; Fabales; Fabaceae
Description: Pisum sativum (pea) long non-coding RNA (PSAT_LNC005008)
Source: RNAcentral